GAGUGGGUUGUACCNGAAGUAGAUAGCUUAACCGNNAGGGGGGCGUUUACCACGGUAUGAUUCAUGACUGGGGUGAAGUCGUAACAAGGUAACCGUAGGGGAACCUGCGGUUGGAUCACCUCCUUACCGAACGAGCUAUAGUAAGUGUCCACACAGAUUGGCUGAGAGUUGUAGACAAGAUAGAGAGCGGAAAUCAACAUUGUCCUUGGGUCUGUAGCUCAGGUGGUUAGAGCGCACCCCUGAUAAGGGUGAGGUCGGUGGUUCAAGUCCACUCAGACCCACCACUCUAAGAGUGAGUGAAGUAAGGNNNNNNAUCUGCAAA
RNAcentral lists this unclassified non-coding RNA (322 nucleotides) under Rodentibacter pneumotropicus. RNAcentral describes it as "contains 16S-23S intergenic spacer region". The stretch from base 1 to 126 matches the Rfam family "Bacterial small subunit ribosomal RNA", at positions 1408 to 1533 of the family's 1533-position model. Lineage: Bacteria; Pseudomonadati; Pseudomonadota; Gammaproteobacteria; Pasteurellales; Pasteurellaceae. The record is from RNAcentral.